GUAAGGUAUGGUAAGGUAAGGUAUGGUAAGGUACGGUAAGGUAAGGUAUGGUAAGGUAAGGUAAGGUAAGGUAAGGUAAGGUAAGGUAAGGUAUGGUAAGGUACGGUAAGGUAAGGUAAGGUAAGGUAAGGUAAGGUAAGGUAAGGUAUGGUAAGGUAAGGUAAGGUAAGGUAAGGUAAGGUAA
This is a long non-coding RNA of Oncorhynchus keta (chum salmon), 184 nucleotides long. RefSeq lists it as uncharacterized. NCBI's taxonomy places the organism in Eukaryota, Metazoa, Chordata, Actinopteri, Salmoniformes, Salmonidae. The record is from RefSeq and is a predicted model, not a curated record. The transcript has 3 exons.